This 850-nucleotide ribosomal RNA is filed under the name uncultured bacterium. Its description in RNAcentral is "bacterial SSU rRNA". It matches the Rfam family "Bacterial small subunit ribosomal RNA", at positions 55 to 883 of the family's 1533-position model. The record is from RNAcentral.
AUGCAGUCGACGAGAAAGUUCCCUUCGGGGAGCGAGUAAAGUGGCGCACGGGUGAGUAACACGUAGGUAAUCUACCUUCGGGUGGGGAAUAACGCAGGGAAACUUGCGCUAACACCGCAUAAUGCAGCGGCACCACAUGGUGACAGUUGUUAAAGCGGGGGAUUUUAGGACCUCGCGCCUGAAGAGGAGCCUGCGGCGGAUUAGCUAGUUGGUAGGGUAACGGCUUACCAAGGCGACGAUCCGUAACCGGCCUGAGAGGGCGGUCGGUCACACUGACACUGACAUACGGGUCAGACUCCUACGGGAGGCAGCAGUCGGGAAUUUUGGGCAAUGGGCGAAAGCCUGACCCAGCAACGCCGCGUGAAGGAUGAAAUCCCUCGGGAUGUAAACUUCGCAAGAAUGGGAAGAAUUAGUAGGGGCUAAUACUCCCUAUGAUGACGGUACCAUUUGUAAGCUCCGGCUAACUCCGUGCCAGCAGCCGCGGUAAUACGGGGGGAGCAAGCGUUGUUCGGAUUUACUGGGCGUAAAGGGCGCGUAGGCGGUCAGCACAAGUCAGUUGUGAAAUCUCCGGGCUUAACUCGGAAAGGUCAACUGAUACUGUGCGACUAGAGUGCAGAAGGGGCAACUGGAAUUCUCGGUGUAGCGGUGAAAUGCGUAGAUAUCGAGAGGAACACCUGCGGCGAAGGCGGGUUGCUGGGCUGACACUGACGCUGAUGCGCGAAAGCCAGGGGAGCGAACGGGAUUAGAUACCCCGGUAGUCCUGGCCUUAAACGAUGGAUGCUUGGUGUCUGGAGUUUUAUAGUCUCCGGGUGCCGUAGCUAACGCGUUAAGCAUCCCGCCUGGGGAGUAC